This 243-nucleotide ribosomal RNA is filed under the name uncultured Staphylococcus sp. RNAcentral's name for it is "partial 16S ribosomal RNA". It matches the Rfam family "Bacterial small subunit ribosomal RNA", at positions 102 to 334 of the family's 1533-position model. The record is from RNAcentral. Lineage: Bacteria; Bacillati; Bacillota; Bacilli; Caryophanales; Staphylococcaceae.
CGGCGACGGGUGAGUAACACGUGGAUAACCUACCUAUAAGACUGGGAUAACUUCGGGAAACCGGAGCUAAUACCGGAUAAUAUAUUGAACCGCAUGGUUCAAUAGUGAAAGACGGUUUUGCUGUCACUUAUAGAUGGAUCCGCGCCGCAUUAGCUAGUUGGUAAGGUAACGGCUUACCAAGGCAACGAUGCGUAGCCGACCUGAGAGGGUGAUCGGCCACACUGGAACUGAGACACGGUCCAG